Molecule: ribosomal RNA, 621 nt
Filed under: uncultured bacterium
Lineage: Bacteria
Description: bacterial SSU rRNA
Rfam family: Bacterial small subunit ribosomal RNA (bases 1-535)
Source: RNAcentral
CCUACGGGAGGCAGCAGUGGGGAAUUUUGGACAAUGGGCGCAAGCCUGAUCCAGCAAUGCCGCGUGAGUGAAGAAGGCCUUCGGGUUGUAAAGCUCUUUUGUCAGGGAAGAAACGGUGGGAGCUAAUAUCUCCUGCUAAUGACGGUACCUGAAGAAUAAGCACCGGCUAACUACGUGCCAGCAGCCGCGGUAAUACGUAGGGUGCAAGCGUUAAUCGGAAUUACUGGGCGUAAAGCGUGCGCAGGCGGUUUUGUAAGACUGUCGUGAAAUCCCCGGGCUCAACCUGGGAAUGGCGAUGGUGACUGCAAGGCUAGAGUUUGGCAGAGGGGGGUAGAAUUCCACGUGUAGCAGUGAAAUGCGUAGAUAUGUGAGGAACACCGAUGGCGAAGGCAGCCCCCUGGGUCAAAACUGACGCUCAUGCACGAAAGCGUGGGGAGCAAACAGGAUUAGAUACCCUGGUAGUCCACGGCCCUAAACGAUGUCUACUAGUUGUCGGUCUUAAUGACUGUACGCNGCUACGCGUGAGUAGACCGCCGUCGGGAGGUACGGUCGCGAGAGUAAACGUACGAAGAAGUUAGACGGCGUGAGACGUAGACCGACGGACGACGACGAGGGAGGAGG